CCUACGGGAGGCAGCAGUGAGGAAUAUUGGUCAAUGGGCGGAAGCCUGAACCAGCCAAGUCGCGUGAGGGAAUAAGGCCCUACGGGUCGUAAACCUCUUUUGCCGGGGAGCAAGGGCGGGGACGUGUCCCGGCCCGGAGAGUACCCGGAGAAAAAGCAGCGGCUAACUCGGUGCCAGCAGCCGCGGUAAUACGGAGGAUGCGAGCGUAAUCCGGAUUUGUUGGGUUGAACGGGUGCGUAGGAGGGCUUUUAAGUCAGCGGUAACACUUCGGGGCUCAACCCCGUCCGGCCGUUGAAACUGGGGGCCUUGAGUGGGCGCGAAGACGGCGGAAUGCGUGGUGUAGCGGUGCACUGCAUCGCUAUCACGCAGAACCCCGAUUGCGAAGGCAUCCUUCCGGCGCCCUCCUGCCGCUGAGGCACGAUCGUGCGGGGAUCGAACAGGAUUAGAUACCCCAGUAGUC
This 460-nucleotide ribosomal RNA is filed under the name uncultured bacterium. Its description in RNAcentral is "partial 16S ribosomal RNA". It matches the Rfam family "Bacterial small subunit ribosomal RNA", at positions 338 to 795 of the family's 1533-position model. The record is from RNAcentral.